UAAAUUUUUUUCUUAAAUUGUCAUAUUGACAGUCUUAAUGUUACUGAACACGACUCAGUGAACUAAAUCAGAUAUCAAAGGAGAGUUUAAACCAGUCAUCAUGAGAAACCUGGCACAGGAAGGUCAAUUUCCAGCUACAGAGUUUACAGCCAUGCAGCUUCACGAGCUUGUCAGGUAAGUACAGAUUAUGAAAAGCCUUGUACAGACCCAUUUCUCAGAUCUACCUUUAAUGUGUCUUGCAGUGUGGACUGGAAAGUCCACCCAUGAAACUAGAUUAAUUGUCCUGGCUGUAAUGGUCAGUUAUACCUAUAUAUUGACUCUAUGGUAAACAGGCUGUCUGGAAGUAUCUUUUGAGAAAAAGACAGUGUUGAAAUAAUGGACUCUUCUGCAUCUGUGUGGAUGGCGGCUAUGGACCAGGUGUGAGUAGCACCAACUAAGGGCCAGUUCUCUGUGAGGGAUCUGCCCUGAGUCUUAUAGCACUGCUCUCCUCUUCAUCUAUCUGUGUGUCUCAGCUUUAGGGGCUUCAGGGCAUGAAAUCCCAGACUCAGUAAGCACCUUCCCUUAGGGACAAAGACCCUUCCAGAUUGUUUUCCACCACGACAGCAAUAUUUAGAGUUUCCUCACAGUGAGGUUACAUUAGGCAGAAGAUGAUUGGUUGAUGGAUCUUGUCUUCCUUAUGUAUGAUUGACGGGCACGCCUCACUUAAACCCUAUAACUGUUGUGUGCAUUCCAAAAAUGAACUGAGCUACUGGAUGUCCACUUGAGGUUUGUCACCAGCCAGUUCUCACCAGCUCCCAGAGUCUGUGUGUUGAUUCCACGUCUCUACCCCCCACGACUGAGGUAGCCGAACAACUUAUUGACCACAUCAGUGACAGGAAUGUAUGCAAGACCGCAGAUGAGGAACCUAAGCCAGCCAAUUAUGCUGGACUUUAAUAACUAAGACUACAUUUACCUGUAUGGACAAUUGUUGGAAAGAUUAUUAAAAUAGAUUUUUCCAAGAGUGUUUAUAUUACUGACAGACCUAAUAAACUCCUUAAAUGUGAGAGUUAAGAGAAAGGAUGAUAAAUAUCCUGUGGCCUGUAAGAAUAUAACUUAUUGUAUCAUUAGUUAUUGCCAGCUAAUAUUUCAGAGCUAUAAUAUGCUAAAGUUAAUAUUCAGGCUUUAAAACAGGUGUAUGUCAAUUAACCGGACCUAGGCAAACUGCUGAUCUCAUAAUCCCUAAAGUGACUACUUUAUUCAUUGCUUUUUCAAUUAUAUCCUUUGUGGCUAUGUCUUAAAACUUACAAUGUAUGGAUUUUCUUAAUGUUUGACUUAAAUUACUUCCAAAAAUCCUUCAUGGUCAGAUAAGUGCUGAUGGAAGGAUGAGAACUAAGAAAUGAUGCUCUAGAAGACAAUGUAAUGAAUAAUGUGAGUGAGCCCUUUGCUCUGUGGUUUAUGGAGAGGCCUAAAUGCCAUGCCAAUGAAAAUAUCUGUUACUACGGCCAAACGCAAUGCCUCCCAAUAAAAUUGGGAAAAGAUUAAGAAUCUUCUGAUGAGUGUUUGAUGAAGUAAUAAUAACCUGGAUCUUCCAAGUUGAUUGUGUUAUGAAGAUGAUAUGUUUUCUACUAAUUCCUUUUGUGUUUCAAUAGCAGAUGGUGAUGACCUUGGACCAAGAGUCAAGUGACUGAAAGAUAGAAUUUCCCAGUUGCAUUUUUAUAUAUAUAUAUAUUAAGAAAGGGGGAAUAUGUGGGACACCAAUCUUGCACGUGACUGAGUCACACUCCCCGGCUGGGUGCUGAGGUGCUCAGUCACAGAAAUGUGGCAGAGCUUUCCCCACCCUUCUUGGGUCUGAAGGUCGGUGUCUCGUGCAUGGGUGUGUCUUGCUACAGCCCCAUGGGUGAAGCUAUGCUCACCUGUUCCUUCAUAACCCCUUGCCCUGUUUAGGAUAGAAUCUUCCAUGGAAGUGCCUUGUGUGUGUCGCCUCCUCUUACUGUGCCCUUGGGUGUGGCCUACCCAGGUGUCAGUCAACCUGCUGACGGUGGACAUCAUGAAGAUAGACUCAGCCCCCUGAAACCUGACCCCUUGCCUCAUUUGAAUAGCUUCUCCUCAAUAAAAGGGGUCAGCGCUGCUCUCGCUCUCUCACUUUCUGUGGACCCUUAAGGUCAGAGGAGCUGUCACAGCGAC
RNAcentral lists this long non-coding RNA (2163 nucleotides) under Marmota monax (woodchuck). Lineage: Eukaryota; Metazoa; Chordata; Mammalia; Rodentia; Sciuridae. The record is from RNAcentral.